GCAAACAAAUGGGAGGAAGACAAGUCAGCACAGAAGAAAACCGGUGGUGCCCAGAGAGGAUCAGUCUGGUUCAGCGGUUCCUGGGCGGGAUCCUUGCUCUGGAAAUAAGGGCUCAUUUCACAUUCUGCCGGGAGGGAAGAGAGAGAGAGCCGUGGCUGGGAGGCAGGAGGACCCCAGGGCCCGGGAGACGAGGCUUCAGUUCCUCUGACUCGACGCCCUCCAUGCGGAUGGAGAGAAGAGAAGGGGUUCCUGAACCUCAAUCUGGCCCAUCUGCCACCACACACUUUCCUUGUCUAGAGGCUGGUGGCCACCUAGUUGCCAAGGAGCCUGGGGCCACGCCUCACCAGGAGAGGCUGAGUUCGCCUUUGGAUCUUUCCAGAAUCCUUUCUGUGCGCACACUGGAGCCCCACCUCCGCUGGUCACGUGGCAAGUAUGUAUUUGGAUAAAGCCAGCGGGUUCUGACAACACCAGUAAAUUCCUCAAAGAAAAUGCUGGGCACGGAGGGACGUGGUGUAGUCUGGGGUGACA
Lynx canadensis (Canada lynx) is the source of this 528-nucleotide long non-coding RNA. RefSeq lists it as uncharacterized. Lineage: Eukaryota; Metazoa; Chordata; Mammalia; Carnivora; Felidae. The record is from RefSeq and is a predicted model, not a curated record. The transcript has 3 exons.